UACAGAGGGAGCGAGCGUUAUCCGGAAUGAUUGGGCGUAAAGCGUCUGUAGGUGGUUUAGAAAGUCUGCUGUCAAAUACCAAGGCUUAACCUUGGGCAGGCAGUAGAGUACUUUUAGACUAGAGUGUGGUAGAGGUAGAGGGAAUCCCUAGCGUAACAGUGAAAUGUGUAGAUUUUAGGGAGAACACCAGCGGCGAAGGCGCUCUACUGGGCCAAGACUGACACUGAGAGACGAAAGCUAGGGGAGCGAAUAG
RNAcentral lists this ribosomal RNA (253 nucleotides) under uncultured bacterium. Its description in RNAcentral is "partial 16S ribosomal RNA". It matches the Rfam family "Bacterial small subunit ribosomal RNA", at positions 524 to 775 of the family's 1533-position model. The record is from RNAcentral.